AAGUCGUAACAAGGUUUCCGCGGAAGGAUCAUUAACACGUAUCCAACGUUAAAACAACCCUGUGAACCUUCAAUCUUGCUCGCGUGGCUCCAUGAAAGCAGCAAUCCCUGGUAAAUCAUUGUUGACCAGCUAUUGAGUCAGGGACCUCUGCUUUAAAACGAUGCGAUACGAGCGCCAGAGUAAGUGCGGCCUGGCAUCCUAGCAAUCUGUCAGUGGUUGCGCAAGGAUGGCGCAGUAAACGAUCGCUGUAGGCCCACACGGCCGGCGACCGGGCCUCUGUGCUUCGGCACCUAACGACCCCAUGUUUCGUACCCGGUGCGCUGUAACAACCGCACCACAAACUCGAACAACUGUUAACAAUGGAUAUCUUGGUUCUC
This 377-nucleotide unclassified non-coding RNA is filed under the name fungal sp. RNAcentral's name for it is "partial internal transcribed spacer region". The record is from RNAcentral. Lineage: Eukaryota; Fungi.